Molecule: unclassified non-coding RNA, 193 nt
Filed under: Mycolicibacterium neoaurum
Lineage: Bacteria; Bacillati; Actinomycetota; Actinomycetes; Mycobacteriales; Mycobacteriaceae
Description: 16S-23S ribosomal RNA intergenic spacer
Source: RNAcentral
CUAAGGAGCACCACGAGAACCUGGCCCGCCCAUAUCGUGUGGGAGUUCGGUGACCUUGGUCGAUUCGUUGGAUGGCCUUCGCCUGUAGUGGGUGGGGGUCUGGUGCAACAACAAACAAACUUUAUGACCGCCAGACACACUAUUGGGCUUUGAGACAACAGGCCCAGCGGGACCUUCGCUCUACGGAGAAGGG